CCUUCGCGGCUUGUUCCAGGUGCUCCGUGACCCAUGGGUCGACGGAGUGAAACAGGGAAGCCGGUGAGUGAGCGCACUUGUACACAGUGCUGCCGCAAUUCCGGCGCUGCCCCCGCAACGGUAAAUGAGUCAAGACGGUGCCUUUUGCCACUGUAUCGCCAGCGAUAUGGGAAGGCGCACCGUCGGCCUGCCUGCUUGAUUAACGCAAGCGCCACUCAUGAGCCCGGAGACCGGCCUGAAACAUCCAACAGCA
RNAcentral lists this non-coding RNA (253 nucleotides) under Pseudomonas fluorescens. The record is from RNAcentral. RNAcentral also lists the same sequence under 1 other name. Lineage: Bacteria; Pseudomonadati; Pseudomonadota; Gammaproteobacteria; Pseudomonadales; Pseudomonadaceae.